UGAGGAAUAUUGGUCAAUGGGCGCAAGCCUGAACCAGCCAUCCCGCGUGCAGGAAGACGGCCCUAUGGGUUGUAAACUGCUUUUCCAGGGAGAGAAACUUGCGUACGCGUUGCGCAAUUGACGGUACCCUGGGAAUAAGCAUCGGCUAACUCCGUGCCAGCAGCCGCGGUAAUACGGAGGAUGCGAGCGUUAUCCGGAUUUAUUGGGUUUAAAGGGUGCGUAGGUGGUGAUUUAAGUCAGCGGUGAAAGUUUGUGGCUCAACCAUAAAAUUGCCGUUGAAACUGGGUUACUUGAGUGUGUUUGAGGUAGGCGGAAUGCGUGGUGUAGCGGUGAAAUGCAUAGAUAUCACGCAGAACUCCGAUUGCGAAGGCAGCUUACUAAACCAUAACUGACACUGAAGCACGAAAGCGUGGGGAUCAAACA
Molecule: ribosomal RNA, 423 nt
Filed under: uncultured prokaryote
Description: bacterial SSU rRNA
Rfam family: Bacterial small subunit ribosomal RNA
Source: RNAcentral